RNAcentral lists this ribosomal RNA (253 nucleotides) under uncultured bacterium. Its description in RNAcentral is "partial 16S ribosomal RNA". It matches the Rfam family "Bacterial small subunit ribosomal RNA", at positions 524 to 776 of the family's 1533-position model. The record is from RNAcentral.
UACGGAGGGGGCUAGCGUUGUUCGGAAUUACUGGGCGUAAAGCGCACGUAGGCGGCUUUGUAAGUUAGAGGUGAAAGCCCGGAGCUCAACUUCGGAACUGCCUUUGAUACUGGGUAUCUUGAGUAUGGAAGAGGUAAGUGGAAUUGCGAGUGUAGAGGUGAAAUUCGUAGAUAUUCGCAGGAACACCAGUGGCGAAGGCGGCUUACUGGUCCAUUACUGACGCUGAGGUGCGAAAGCGUGGGGAGCAAACAGG